CGUGAGGAAACAGCAGGUGGUGCAGUAUUCUAGUCGCUGAGACCUGCUUCAAAGGCGGGCCUAAAAAUCCGUCAAGGGCACAUCGAUGAAGUUCCUGGUGCUGGCUUUCAACGCCCAGUUGGGGGCUUGUGCUGGGAGUUAAGGAGAAAGGGCGAUCUACAAUGGCAUGUAGGCGUUGACCCUUUCUCCGCGGAGGCUCAAGUUCGUGGGAUAAAACCUACGGCUUUGAGUUAAACCUGCAUGCGGUGCCAGAUGAGCGCUGUGUGCAGUGUAGCCUGCCUUGAGUGGUGCUGGUGGAUGCCGUAAAAAGGCUUUUUGACCGCAAGGGCCCUGCGGAAAAAGCCUGUGCUGAAACCUUCACUGCAAAAGAGGCUAGAAGCCGGUCGAAGCGUUGAGGAAAACUCCUAGACUGUCUGCCCUGCCGGCAGCAUCUGUCGGGGAUUAAAGUGUGGACUAAGUGGUAAUCUAGCCCUGUUACCGGCAACGGAACAGAACGGGCUUAAAGGGGAACCACCAGAACGGCGACGUUCUGGCGCCUCGUUGGGAAAACCUGCUAGACCUAAGCCACAAUAUUUACCCGGCAGGUGACCACCUGCAGAUAUUGUUUU
RNAcentral lists this small RNA (608 nucleotides) under Thermacetogenium phaeum DSM 12270. Lineage: Bacteria; Bacillati; Bacillota; Clostridia; Thermoanaerobacterales; Thermoanaerobacteraceae. The record is from RNAcentral.